Molecule: ribosomal RNA, 424 nt
Filed under: uncultured bacterium
Lineage: Bacteria
Description: bacterial SSU rRNA
Rfam family: Bacterial small subunit ribosomal RNA
Source: RNAcentral
GGGCCCGCACAAGCGGUGGAGCAUGUGGUUUAAUUCGAUGCAACGCGAAGAACCUUACCUACCCUUGAAAUCCUCAGAAUUCUCUAGAGAUAGAGAAGUGCCUUCGGGAACUGAGUGACAGGUGCUGCAUGGCUGUCGUCAGCUCGUGUCGUGAGAUGUUGGGUUAAGUCCCGUAACGAGCGCAACCCCUACUCUUAAUUGCCAGCGGAUAAUGCCGGGGACUCUAGAGAAACUGCCAGCGUAAGCUGUGAGGAAGGUGGGGAUGACGUCAGAUCAUCACGGCCCUUACGUCCUGGGCUACACACGUGCUACAAUGGCAAGGACAAUGAGCUGCCAACCCGCGAGGGUGAGCAAAUCUUCAAACCUUGUCUCAGUUCGGAUCGGAGUCUGCAACUCGACUCCGUGAAGUUGGAAUCGCUAGUAA